GUGGUAGAGUGCUCAGUGGUAGAGCACUUGCUUUGCAUGUAUGAUGCCCUGGGUUCGAUUCCUCAGCACCACA
Molecule: non-coding RNA, 73 nt
Organism: Dipodomys ordii (Ord's kangaroo rat)
Lineage: Eukaryota; Metazoa; Chordata; Mammalia; Rodentia; Heteromyidae
Source: Rfam